Molecule: small nucleolar RNA, 108 nt
Rfam family: Plant small nucleolar RNA R71
About the family: R71 is a member of the C/D box family of snoRNAs containing the C (UGAUGA) and D (CUGA) box motifs. Multiple nearly identical copies of this snoRNA have been identified in Arabidopsis, and it is thought to function as a 2'-O-ribose methylation guide for 18S ribosomal RNA.
Source: Rfam
AUACCAUGACGAGGACACCUUCUGAGCAAUUCUUUGAAUCUUUCCCAAACCUCGUACAAACCCUCAUUUUUAAAUUGAUGGAAGGAAUUAAUCUCAUUCCGUAACUUU